UACGAGGGGGGCGAGCGUUGUUCGGAAUUAUUGGGCGUAAAGGGCGCGUAGGCGGUGCGGUAAGUCACCUGUGAAAACUCUGGGCUCAACUCAGAGCCUGCAGGCGAAACUGCCGUGCUGGAGUGUGGGAGAGGUGCGUGGAAUUCCCGGUGUAGCGGUGAAAUGCGUAGAUAUUGGGAGGAACACCAGUGGCGAAGGCGGGUAGCUGGGCCGACACUGACGCUGAUGCGCGAAAGCCAGGGGAGCGAACGGG
Molecule: ribosomal RNA, 253 nt
Filed under: uncultured prokaryote
Description: partial 16S ribosomal RNA
Rfam family: Bacterial small subunit ribosomal RNA
Source: RNAcentral